AUGCACGCUAGCGGCAGGCCUCAUACAUGCAGGUCGAACGCGAUUAAGAGGCUUGCUUCUUAUGAAAGUGGCGCACGGGUGCGUAACGCGUAUGCAACCUACCUUAAUCAGGGGGAUAGCCCGAAGAAAUUCGGAUUAAGACCGCAUAAAAACACAGGAUAGCAUUAUCCAAUGUUCAAAUAUUUAUAGGAUUAAGAUGGGCAUGCGUGUCAUUAGCUAGUUGGCGGGGUAACGGCCCACCAAGGCGACGAUGACUAGGGGAUCUGAGAGGAUGACCCCCCACACUGGUACUGAGACACGGACCAGACUCCUACGGGAGGCAGCAGUAAGGAAUAUUGGUCAAUGGAGGGAACUCUGAACCAGCCAUGCCGCGUGCAGGAAGACAGCCCUCUGGGUCGUAAACUGCUUUUAUUCGGGAAUAAACCUUUCUACGUGUAGGAAGCUGAAUGUACCGAAGGAAUAAGGAUCGGCUAACUCCGUG
Molecule: ribosomal RNA, 481 nt
Filed under: uncultured bacterium
Lineage: Bacteria
Description: partial 16S ribosomal RNA
Rfam family: Bacterial small subunit ribosomal RNA
Source: RNAcentral